UUCGCAAUGCCCGAAAGGGUGACGAGGCGACGCCGCGUGCGGGAAGAAGGCCUUCGGGUUGUAAACCGCUGUCGGGAGUUAAGAAAUGCAAGGGUGUUAAUAGUAUCCUUGCUAGACUAAGGCUCCGGAGGAAGCCACGGCUAACUCUGUGCCAGCAGCCGCGGUAAUACAGAGGCGGCAAGCGUUGUUCGGAAUUAUUGGGCGUAAAGAGCACGUAGGCGGCUGUGUAAGUCGGUUGUGAAAGCCUUCCGCUCAACGGGAGAACGGCAUCCGAUACUGCAUGGCUUGAGUGCGGGAGGGGAGAGUGGAACUUCUGGUGGAGCGGUGAAAUGCGUAGAUAUCAGAAGGAACACCGGCGGCGAAGGCGACUCUCUGGCCCGUAACUGACGCUGAGUGUGCGAAAGCUAGGGGAGCAAACGGGAUUAGAUACCCCGGUAGUCCUAGCCGUAAACGAUGGGCACUAAGUAGAGGGGUUUU
Molecule: ribosomal RNA, 477 nt
Filed under: uncultured anaerobic ammonium-oxidizing bacterium
Lineage: Bacteria
Description: bacterial SSU rRNA
Rfam family: Bacterial small subunit ribosomal RNA
Source: RNAcentral